GACGAACGCUGGCGGCGUGCUUAACACAUGCAAGUCGAACGGAAAGGCCCUGCUUUUGUGGGGUGCUCGAGUGGCGAACGGGUGAGUAACACGUGAGUAACCUGCCCUUGACUUUGGGAUAACUUCAGGAAACUGGGGCUACUACCGGAUAGGAGCUCACGCUGCAUGGUGGGGGUUGGAAAGUUUCGGCGGUUGGGGAUGGACUCGCGGCUUAUCAGCUUGUUGGUGGGGUAGUGGCUUACCAAGGCUUUGACGGGUAGCCGGCCGGAGAGGGUGAACGGCCACAUGGGGACUGAGAUACGGCCCAGACUGCUACAGGAGGCAGCGGUGGGGAAUAUGGCACAAUGGGCGGAAGCCUGAUGCAGCGACGCCGGGUGCGUGAAGACGGCCUUCGGGGUGUAAACCGCUGUCGCCUGUGACGAAGCGUGAGUGACGGUAAUGGGUAAAGAAGCACCGGCUAACUACGUG
RNAcentral lists this ribosomal RNA (468 nucleotides) under uncultured bacterium. RNAcentral's name for it is "partial 16S ribosomal RNA". It matches the Rfam family "Bacterial small subunit ribosomal RNA", at positions 28 to 507 of the family's 1533-position model. The record is from RNAcentral.